Myotis brandtii (Brandt's bat) is the source of this 3581-nucleotide long non-coding RNA. RefSeq lists it as uncharacterized. The record is from RefSeq and is a predicted model, not a curated record. The transcript is spliced from 2 exons. NCBI's taxonomy places the organism in Eukaryota, Metazoa, Chordata, Mammalia, Chiroptera, Vespertilionidae.
CGGCUGGUUUGUCUGCCCCACGCCGCGCCCGCUGCUUCAUCCAUCCCAGGGGGCGCGGCACACGCCACGGCGGUCUGGGCUCUGCCUUUCCUAGAACUUCCGUAGGAUUCGCCGCAGUGUACUUUCAGUUUCUACUUCGCGCUGGGUCUGCAGGUUCGAGCUUGGGGUUCCUCGCCCGGCGCCUCCAGCGCCCCCCUCCCCCGCGCACCUGCGUCCUCCCCAGGUGCUUCCUGUGCACCUGGGUGACCACGGCCGGAGGAGGGCGCCUCAGGAGGACCUAGGGGGCCUUCGGAGGAAGAGCGGUUCCCGGCGAUGACCUCUCACCGCCUUGGCAGCGUCAGGCCACCGCGAUCGAGGCCACUGGGCGCGCAAAGCAUAGGUUGCCACUGCGUCCACGGAAGCGACACAGGUGUAGGGCGAAAGCUGGGCGAGUGCGAGCUGAGCGCGGAGAGGGCGUCGCAGCUCCUGACGUGGGUGUGGUGGACAAUGCCAAUGUCUUGUGAAACUUUAUAUGGGGUGUUCUGUGAUUAGAGAAAUGAUUGCCAUUCCGUUUACUCAUAGCCCCAAUGAGUUGUGCAGAAAAGCUAACAGUACGCCAAGUUCAUGAAAAAAGGAACUUAGGAGGGUUGAGAGGGUCAUGCCCUCACUCAGUCCCUGGAGUCACUCUCAUCAGCCCCUUUCCGCUGUCUGUGUGCAUGCACCUGCCCAGGUGAUACCUCAUGGAAAAGAAUCCCAUGGGCCCACCUACGCUGGGAAGCGGUAACUUUGUGGACGUGGGAAAUCAGAGCCCAACUUAGGCGGAGGAAGUGGAGUCUAUCACAGUUAAAUCACCGUGACUUUCACGUUUAUCUGAAUUGGCUAAGAAAUCACACUUUCCCUUUGGACCGUUUGUUACUGAGGAGUUAAUGUUUUAUUUCCAGGCCUGAACUAUUUAGUCGCACGUCCUGCAUCCAAUCCAGAGGCAAGUCCAGUCAGCUCUGCUUCUGGAACAAACCCGAAUCCAGCCUGUGUGCUCCGGGAUUGCCCGUGGGGACACCAUGAAGACCCUGCGGUCUGGGAUGGUCCCUCCCCUCACAGAGGCAGGGACCUGAUUUACACUCGCCACCCUCUGGGACUGUCCUCUGGCCCUUGGCGUUGUCCCAGGCCUAAGGUGCUGGGUGACCUGGGCUCUGCUGCCCCUCUCUGACCGUGGCUCCAGCCACACUGGCCUGUUUCUCCCCUGUCCCAGCCAAACUCCCUCCCACUGGGAACAGUAUUUAGCACUCAGACAGCACUGCCCAGGGACAGAGUGAGAGACAGCUGUGGAGUGAGAAAAUGUGAAUGGGAACGUGGGUGGAAGAGAAACGAUGUGAGGGCAGAUGGACAGGAGGGGGCCAAUGAGAAUAGGAGAGGGAAUGGGUGGGCAAAGCUGAGUGUUGCCAUGUGACUGGAACCUAGAGCGAGGUGAGCAGUGGAGACCGAAUCCUAAAUGGGAAUUCUGUGCCUAAGCACACUAGAGUGGUUAUUUAUUUACUUAAAAUCCCCGACAGUGGCAUUGAGGCACAGAAAUUGCACCAGCCUGCACUUUUUUGUUUUACUUUUCAGGGACAAAUAAAAGAUCAUCUAUCAAUAACUUCCUCAGGAAGAAAUCCAUCUUCCUUUUUUUUUUUGCACAAUCACCACAAAACCUGGCAUAAUAAGGGCUUGUCAUCAGUGAACUUUGAGGAAGCAUGAGGUGAAAUUAUUCAGAGCUCCAGUAGAGAUGUAAAUUCCUCACUCUCUUCAGAACAUAUUCAUAAAGGAUUUGGAAUUUUUGUUGUUGCAUGAGAGUGAGCACAUUCUCACCAGAAGUUAUUAUGCAUGAGAGGUGCUAGAGUCUAUCUAUAAUAACAAAAAAAGGUAAUAUGCUAAUUAGACAGACAAAGCCUUGGUGGGCAGGGGCUGAACCCCUUGCACGAAUUUUAUGCAUCGGGCCUCUAGUUUAUGUAUUAAUUGAUAAAAUUGGGUUCUUGUGUAGAAGUAGGAAAGGAUGGAACCAAGAAACCCAAGAUCUCUGAUCUAUUUUUUCUUAUGAUUCCUUCAAUUCCCUGUCUAUUAGAGAAUUAAUACCAUUUGUAAAAAAUUCCAAAAGGAAAUCUUAAAUGAAUGGCUGAUAUUUUGAUAAGCUGAACAUUAUUUUUCAUAAGACAAGGAUAAAAUGUCUUGUAAAAUUUUAUAUGCUGUUGUUUUUUGAUUAGAGAAAUGAUUGCUAUUCCAUUUACUUGUAGCCCCAAUGAGUUGUGCAGAAAAGCCAACAGUACUCCAAGUUCAUGAAUUAUUAUAACCAUAAAUACUAAGAAAGAAGACAACAUUCUCAGAAUGAUUAGUACAAUGUAAUAGAAAAAAUGUAAAUAAGAUAUGAAAGUCAACUUAAAGAGAUAGUUGUUGAAGGUUAAUCAAUGUCUUUUUAAAUAUCUUACAGUCUUCCAUCAAAAUAGUCAAUUAUUGGUAACCUGAAAAUAUUUUCUUAUUUAAUUAUCUGAACUAUUUUUACCACCUCUGACUGCUCUUGAUAGUCUGAGAUCUGAAUGCUAGCUGUUGGUCUGUCUGUGGAUAUUUUCCUGAAGUUUCUAUGACUUAAUUUUCCAGGCAUACUAUUUAACAUAUUCAAACACACACACCCAUACACACACACACACACACACACACACACCCCACACACAUCCGACUUUUUUAUGGGCGUGUGUUCUUUGUAUGGCAUAGAGGCCCAUGUAGUGCUUAGAAGGGCUCCCUGCUUGUUUCAAUGCUCUGCUGUCUUGAAAUUCUUAAUUGUUUUUGGACAAGGGCUCUCUCAUUUUCACUUUGCACUGGACCCCGCAAAUUCUGUAACUACGUGCGUACACACACAUGUUAAGCUACACAUUGUAGAUAACAAUGCAUAUCUUCAAGGUGGCUUCAGUCUGGUGGGGAGAUCAGAAGUUAGAAGUGUAAUUUCAAAGAUAAAAGAAUGUUAUAAAAAGGAAAGGACAAGAUGUACUUCAAACCAGGGAUUUAAGGCAAUCUAGACAGACUCACUUGAAAAAUUAGUGAAACUAGGGUCCAGAAAAGGUUCAUUUACUUGGUUAGUGGGAAAAUGGCUAUAAUGAAUAACCUUCCAUUUAAAUCAGAUUUAUUUGUUUUUCAAGCCUGACCAUGAGGAUAAAUUUUAUCAAAUGACCAAUGAGCAUGUUUACAUGGUUGUGUUUUUUCCUUGUUGCAUUUCUAAAUAGACCACAAAUUUAUCAUAAUGCUAAAUUCUAGUUGCUAAUAUUUAACAUAGAAUUUUUCAAUUACAUUUAUAGUUGGUAUAUGUUUGUUUUUCAUAUUAUAUUUAACUGAGUUUGGACUAUUUUUGUCAGAUUCUCUUAGCUUUAUAAAGGGAUGUGGGAAUUCCCUUGUUUUUUUUUGUUUGUUUGUUUAAAGAAACUGUAACUGUUUAAGCAUUUUAUAAACUGUUUCUGGGUAGUUGAUUAGAGUUCAACAAUAAAACAUGCCUCAUUUAAUAGGAGAAAGUCCAGGGAUAGGAGGAGAAUGCCAGUUUCGAACAUUGUAAGAUUGAAAAUAAAAAGGAUUCCUUCCAAGGC